GGCCUAACACAUGCAAGUCGAGCGGAAACGACACUAACAAUCCUUCGGGUGCGUUAAUGGGCGUCGAGCGGCGGACGGGUGAGUAAUGCCUAGGAAAUUGCCUUGAUGUGGGGGAUAACCAUUGGAAACGAUGGCUAAUACCGCAUAAUGCCUACGGGCCAAAGAGGGGGACCUUCGGGCCUCUCGCGUCAAGAUAUGCCUAGGUGGGAUUAGCUAGUUGGUGAGGUAAUGGCUCACCAAGGCGACGAUCCCUAGCUGGUCUGAGAGGAUGAUCAGCCACACUGGAACUGAGACACGGUCCAGACUCCUACGGGAGGCAGCAGUGGGGAAUAUUGCACAAUGGGCGAAAGCCUGAUGCAGCCAUGCCGCGUGUAUGAAGAAGGCCUUCGGGUUGUAAAGUACUUUCAGUUGUGAGGAAGGGGGUAGCGUUAAUAGCGCUAUCUCUUGACGUUAGCAACAGAAGAAGCACCGGCUAACUCCGUGCCAGCAGCCGCGGUAAUACGGAGGGUGCGAGCGUUAAUCGGAAUUACUGGGCGUAAAGCGCAUGCAGGUGGUUCAUUAAGUCAGAUGUGAAAGCCCGGGGCUCAACCUCGGAACUGCAUUUGAAACUGGUGAACUAGAGUACUGUAGAGGGGGGUAGAAUUUCAGGUGUAGCGGUGAAAUGCGUAGAGAUCUGAAGGAAUACCAGUGGCGAAGGCGGCCCCCUGGACAGAUACUGACACUCAGAUGCGAAAGCGUGGGGAGCAAACAGGAUUAGAUACCC
Molecule: ribosomal RNA, 763 nt
Filed under: Vibrio sp. FCH-04
Lineage: Bacteria; Pseudomonadati; Pseudomonadota; Gammaproteobacteria; Vibrionales; Vibrionaceae
Description: bacterial SSU rRNA
Rfam family: Bacterial small subunit ribosomal RNA
Source: RNAcentral